Molecule: long non-coding RNA, 4914 nt
Organism: Neofelis nebulosa (Clouded leopard)
Lineage: Eukaryota; Metazoa; Chordata; Mammalia; Carnivora; Felidae
Exons: 2
Source: RefSeq, a predicted model, not a curated record
UGGCUCAGUCAGUUAAGUGUCUGAUUCUUGAUCUCAGCUCAGGUCUUGAUCUCAGGGUUGUGAGUUCAAGCCCUCUGUUGGACUCUGUGCUUGGCAUGAAGUCGACUUAAAUAGUAUUUACCUUAAAUUUCAGAUAAUAGACAAGUAUACCCCAAAAUUCCUGAGAUAAAACUUGCAUUCUUUCUCUGUCCCUUGAAGAUGUGAGUCUUACCAUAUCAUUGAAAUGUAAACACCAUAGGAGAUAACUAAAACACUGUCCAUAAUCACGUGAGACUGAAGGAAAUAAAGUGUGUGUAGGAGGUUUUUAAAAAUACAAUCUGCAAUGAAAUCUCCCUUGUUCAAACUCUAGUCUACAGCUUUCAUAAGAUUACUUGUCAAGGGCAAAUACAAAUCUUAAAAGUCUUCUCCACAAAUAGUAAAAAAAUUAGCCACAUGAGUGGGUAAACUUACCUUAUUCCAACUGCCAGAAAUACAAUUUGGAUCCAACUGUUAUUUGUAAACUAGUGAGUUUUGUAUUAUUGUACCUGCCUGAUUCAUGGCUAAAAUUUUAGAGUGAAAGCUCUAAGUUCUCAGUUUGUGUCUGCCCUGUGUGUUAAUUUAUGUAUGUUUAUCCACAUAUGUUAUACAUGUGUGAUUGAUGUUUCCUGUCUCCAAAUGGUAUUACCAAAAUUAAUUUGUAGUAAAACCCUAUUUAAUUGGCUUAAAGAAAGAUAAGCACUUAUCAAAUUAAAUAUUUCUAAACUCUCAGAAGCGUAAUAGAAAUCAACCCAUGUACUUUCAUUUCAUGUUACCUGAGGUAGCUUUGGUAAAUAAAACCUAGUUUAAGUUAGUUGGUGUAAUUAAAAAAAUGAAUGUCUUUAGAGUUAUUGGCAUUUAAAAACAGUUAAUGGUACUGUAUUUUAGGUUUACUAAAAGUCAAAUAAGCUCAUGUUAUCCCUGUUAACAAAAUUUGUCAGCAAGAAAAGUAAGUUAAGAUGAUGGCUAGCUGCUUUAAAGUCUUAUGAAAUUUUCAGUAAUCUAAAUAUGAUUAUUAAGAAUUAGUAAAUUAAAUAAAUGUAAGGAAGAUAAAAAUGUUUAAGUGAACUUUCAAUAAUAAUCAUUAAAAUUUUUUAAAAUAUUUAUUUAUUUUUGAGAGAGAGGCAGAGUGUGAGUUGGGGAGGGGCAGAGAAAGAGGGAGACACAGAAUCUGAAGCAGGCUAUAGGCUCUGAGCUGUCAGCACAGAGCCUGAUGCGGGGCUCAAAUUCACCUACUGUGAGAUCAUGGCCUGAGCUGAAGUUGGAUGUUUAAUCGACUGAGCCACCCAAGCACCCCAACAGUAAUCAUUUUUUAAUGAUACAUCUAUGUAAAUUUUCUUAAAUCUCUUUAGCAACUUAAACCCUCAGAGUUUUGCUAAGUUAAGUAUAAAUGAUGGAAAUUCAUUGAAUAUCUAGGUCAUUUCUAAGUAAGGUAAAAUACAGAAACAUUAAUUAUUGAACAUAGGUUUAUAUACUUUUGGCUUCUUAUUGCAGAGAUACUAAACAUAUUUGGAUCUACCAAUAAACAUGUCUUAUUUCACAUUAAAAAAAAUUGUACUUCAAGAAAACAUAUGCUUCUAGAGGUUAUGAAAUGCCUUAAUGGGUUUGGCAAUCUACAGAAUACUGGUAUAAUAGUUCACAAUUGCUUACUUAGUUUUCACUAAAAAUAAAUGUUUCUAACAGUUAAGAAUUCUAAUUAAUAUAUAAAAUAGUAAGGAAAAGAAAACUAUGCAAGCAAAGAAAGAUGUGUUUUGGCUAAGAAAAGGUAUGAGACAUGGAGAUGUAUUUUUGUUAAGGGAAAAAGUAGUAUAAUAGCUUGUUGUUUAAGAGAAAAAGAGAGAAAUAGAGAGAAGGAAAGACAAUUUUUCCUGUAUGGUCAUGCUAGCUAAAAUUGAAUAUAUUUAUUAUAAGCGUUUUUUGAAAUAAGGUCUAAUAUCAAUAGUGUAUCAAUAGUGUACUUAUGUAAAAAAAACACUUAAAUUUCUUUUGUCUGCUAACAGGACAGUUUUCUUGGACUAUUGGUCUGCUUUUGAUAAGAUUGUAGAAGGUUUUUCUUCAUCCUUUAAGAAAUCUGCCUAGAAGGCAAAGAUUUUGUGUUUUGUUUUAAUUUCCUCACGUUAUGUUCCCUUUAUGAGGUCUUUGAUUACUUAAAACAGAGUCUUCUCUAUUAAAAGAACUAAAUUUUUUUCUACUAUGUAACUUUCUGUAUUUUCCUGCUAAGUCUUUAGUUGUUUUUAGUUGUCACUUUGGUUAAAUGAAUAACUUAAUAUUGUUCCACACUAACCUGUGACCCUUUAAUCAAAUGUUUAAAACCUACUGAUAUUUUUGACAAACUUUUCCCAAAUCAAAUUCCUUUUUUUUUUUUUUUUGAGUUUAUUUAUUUAUUUUGAGUGGCGUGGAGAGCAGGGGGGUUGAGAGGCAGAAAGAGAGGGAGAGAGAGAAAAUCCCAAGCAGACUCUACAUCUGCAGUAUGGAGCCUGACAUGGGGCUCGAGCCUGGGCUCGAACACAUAAACCUCAAGUUCAUGACCUGAACUGAAACCAAGAGUCAGAUGCUUAACCCACUGAGGCACCCCUGCCCCAAUCAAACUCUAAGUGAAGUCUUUUUGACCUUGAGCUUACUUUGGGAUUUUGUAGAGGGUCCCUGGACCAUCUUGAAAGAUAUAUUCUCUCUCCUUGUAAAGAAGAGAGUUGAUAAACUAAUUGGAAUUAUUUGAUAUGUUAAAUUACACUGGAAGCAUUAUUAAAUCAGAAGUGAUGUUAAAUCUUCUUUGUGUUGUAUUUGUAUGGAUAUAGAUUAUUAUUAUUUAAAGUUUAUUUAUUUUGAGAGAGAGAGGGAAUAAGAGAGGGAACACAUGGGAAUGGGUGGGGAAAGAGCAGAGAGAGAAGGAGAGAGAGCAUCCCAAGCAGGCUCUAUGCUGUCAGUGCGGAGCCGGGCAUAGGGCUUCAACUCACUAACCAUGAGAUCCCAGACUUGAGCUGAAAUCAAGAGUCCCAAUCCUUAGCUGACUGAGCCACCCAGGUGCCCCUGUAUGGAUAGAUAUUAUUAAUAUAUGUUCCAGAAAUUGCAGGGGCGCCUGGGUGGUUCAGUCAGUUUAAUGUUCCACUUCAGCCCAAGUCAUGACCUUGCGCUCCAUGAAUUUGAGCCCCGCAUCGGGCUCUGUGCUGACAGCUCAGAGCCUGGAGCCUGCUUCCGAUUCUGUGUCUCCCAUGUCUCCCUCUCUCUCUGUCCCUCCCUUGCCCAUGCUUUGUCUGUCUCUCAAAAAUAAACAUUAAAAAUUUUAAAAAUAUAUACAUAUAUGUUCCAGAAAUUGUAUAACAUUUUUAAAAAUAUGAUAGGUAAUGUUAUUAGUCAUAAUUGCAUUUAUCAUCUUAAAAUGUUGUGUCAUAGAAAUAAAUUACCUUGCUGAUUGCAUCAUAAAAAAUUCUUAUCAGAUCUUUUACUAUGGCCUUUUAAAAGCCUUCUGUCUUUAUAGACAGUUAUUAUUUUAGUCAGAUGCUUUUGCAAAAGUGUUCCUGCAAAAAUGCUUCAUCUUCAAGGAGACUCACAGAAAGGACUCUAACAAUUACAGGUUUCUGAUUACUUUUAGAUAAUACCACUGAACUGGGUAAGAAUUUAUAGAACUCUAAUGGAGAAACUAGAGGCUUCAUAAAACUAACAAAACAUCAAGAUCAACAAAAUUAAUUAUAUGGAAAUGAAUAAACUGAUGAAGAUGAUUAUAACUUUUUAUGACUUUUGUUUGAAAUAUUGCUGGUUCUUUACUGUUUUGUUUUUCCAGAUUUAAGGAAGCCUUUUUCUCUUUUCUCCUAAGCUAUCAGCAAUUUGGUAAAGUAUACCUUUGUGGCAAAGAUGAAACAAUUACUUUUUCUCCUUACCUGAUCCCUCCAGUAUUUGAAAACUUUUACUACAACUCUCCAAACUAACAUCUCCCAUCCCUUUGACUUGUAAUCGUUGAGAACUGAAACUGCCCUUUCCCAAAGCCAUGAAUGCUGAAGUUGGACAACUUGAUAUAAACUUCAGAGAAAUCACCAUAAUAGUUCACAUGUGGACAGUCUUCAUGACUGCUGGCUGCUGUGUGAUCACUCAGAAGGAUCACCAGAGAUAUUCAAACAGCAAACCAGGAAAAUCUGUCAGAGUGCCCCUGCUUGUCCUCACUCCAUCGGAAGAUGUUUUGAGCCUGACAUCUAAAAAUCUUCUUGACUAGCUGCCUUCAGAACUCAGAAACUGCAAUUAUAGUCUGCUCCAAUCAUUAACUAUUGUUUUUAUUUUAUUUCCAUAGAAAUGUAUGCUAUUAAAUACUUGGUGCAGAUGCUCACACCAUGUAAGCCUAACCUUGGGAGCCUACCUGCAGCACCGCCUCCUGAAAUGAGACACAACUGUUUAACUGAACUGACCUGUUUUCAAAGACAAGAGACUUGUUCAAUGAGAUAAGGGAGAAAUUUUCCAAUCAGCUUCUGAAUUGUGAAACUUCUUUGAAGUUUCAAAGAUGGGGCAGAAUAUUGCCACCCCAAAAUAUGCCACUUUGGCAUAUUGAUGAUUUUGAACUAAAGUUACUUGAGAAACAGCCAGUAUAAGAAUGCUCUGACCCUCCUCUGUACUCCAAAAGUAGAAAAUAAAUCUAUCAUGUGAAAGGUAUUCUCCCUGUACCAGAAAGGAAGAAGCAUUUAUCACUGGAGACAGGGGAUUUAGAGUUGAGAAGACUGGAUAAACAAAACAUGUUACUUCUUCACUAAUUUACUACCUCAAUCCCAAACCCCUUUAUCUUGUCAAUUCUUCACAAAUUUAUCAUUUCCUUGUCUGAAAGUUAUAAAAGCUGCUUGCUUUGUUUCCUUCUUGGAAUCUCAUAUUUUUUAUAGGGCUCCUGUAUGUAUGAAAUUAAAUUUUUUUCCCUCCUAUUAA